Molecule: non-coding RNA, 92 nt
Organism: Rhodofomes roseus
Lineage: Eukaryota; Fungi; Basidiomycota; Agaricomycetes; Polyporales; Fomitopsidaceae
Source: the annotation of a RefSeq genome assembly
GUCACUUUGCCGGAGUGGUUAACGGGAUCGCCUGCUAUCUUCAGUGAAGCGGUUGGGCUUUGCCCGCGAGUGUUCGAAUCGCUCAGGUGACG